AAAAUCCGUCGACUUUAGAAAUCGUGAGGGUUCAAGUCCCUCUAUCCCCCCAAAAAGNCCGAUUUGACUAUUUCUCCUACCCUCUCUUUUUUUUAGUGGUUCAAAAUUCGUUCUCUUUCUCAUUCAUUCUACCUUUUUACAAACGUAUCAGAGCAGAAUUUUUUUUUUCUUUUAUCACAAUCACAAGUGGUGUGGUAUAUAUGAUAUACGUACAAAUGAACAUCUUUGAACAAAGAAUCCCGAUUCACAAUCCAUAUCAUUGCUCAUACUGAAACUUAUAAAUUAUUCUAUUCAAGAAAUCGAAUUCCACGCUCAAGACUUUUAAUACUUUUUUUAUCUUUUUUAAUUGACAUAGACCCCAGUCAUCUAGUAAAACGAGGAUGAUGCGCCGGUAAUGGUCGGGAUAGCUCAGCUGGUAGAGCAGAGGACUGAAAAUCCU
Molecule: transfer RNA, 439 nt
Filed under: Acer heldreichii subsp. trautvetteri
Lineage: Eukaryota; Viridiplantae; Streptophyta; Magnoliopsida; Sapindales; Sapindaceae
Description: Acer trautvetteri partial transfer RNA-Leu
Rfam family: tRNA (bases 398-439)
Source: RNAcentral